GCCUUCGUGGAUCAUGGUGAUCGCCUCGAGUAUAUAGGACGGCACCCAGUGUAACGAGGAGAGGAGGUUCGAAUCCUCCCGAAGGCA
Mycena epipterygia is the source of this 87-nucleotide non-coding RNA. NCBI's taxonomy places the organism in Eukaryota, Fungi, Basidiomycota, Agaricomycetes, Agaricales, Mycenaceae. The record is from the annotation of a GenBank genome assembly.